AAGCCUCUUCCAGUCAUCCAGUACCAUCUUACUUGGAGGCAGCAAAUCAAGAGGAUUCUUUGGUUUGGGCUUUGGUGCCUCCUCCUCCUCAGCUGCCUCUGCCUUUGCUGCCUGUUUCUCAACCUCCUUUUUGGCUUCUUUCUUUGGUUCAGCCUUUGGUUUAGUUUCUUUUGGCUGGGCAGCAGGCUUCUUUGAAGGAACAGGUGGUAGAGAGACUGCCUGCUUCACUUCACCAAGAAUCUUCUUGAUUUUUGGCUGAUUAACCAAGGUCCAAAAGUACCUCUCAACAUGAGGGAACUCCGAGGUAAAACUCUUAGUCAUGAUCUGGGAGAAACCCAAGUAGAGGUUACAUGUCAUGAUAAUGUCAGCAAGGGUGACAAAAUGUCCAACAAGAAAUGUGUUGGAAGCAAGAUGAGUGUUCAAAGCGCCAAGGGCUCUCUUCAAUGCAGCAAUAGCAGCUUCCUCAGCCUACAUGCAAAAUACAUAUAAGAGAUUAAAAUGAAAUAGGUAGGCAAAAUCAUACCAUUGAAUUAAAAUGAACUACUACUGAAUUACAAAAAUAAAAUUUAACUCUUAAUAUAGAUUAAUAAAUACAUCAGAAUGGGGGAGAAAACAACCUAGUCUCUUAAAAAAAUAAUGAGGAGAAAACCCAUGCCUACUUGAUUAUCAAUGCAAUGGGCAUUCCCUUCAACCAAAAUUACUUAAUAGUGCUUGAGUUGAUUCCUUUCCAGAAACUAUGCAGGGGAAAACACUACCACAUUAAGCAUGUACUAAAUGUUGUCUAACUAAUCCUCUCUAAAAUAAAUAAAACAAGAAUCAUAGACAGGUAAUCAAUGCCAAUUUUCCCUUCACCAUUCCCUCCUUAAUAUUUUGUAUUUCAAUGACUAAGUUGCCUUAUUCCAAUUUUAACAUAGGACCUAUUGUCUUAUAAUUAGAAAGAAACAAAGACUAAGUAUGGCCCCAGCAAAUCAAGCCCAAUUAAAAUGACAAAAGAAUCUGCGAGGAAAGACAGUAGAACUUACUGGAGGAAGGUAAACACCGUAACCAAGUCUUGGAUACAACCAUUUUGCAAUAUUAGCAUCAAUUUCCAUGGCUGCAAAAUCAAUCCAUUGCUCGAUAUGACCCUAAGAAAGCCAAAGUAAUACAUACAAACAAUUACUUCCAUGGUUUAAAAUAAACUUAACUGAUGACAGAAGAAUACAAGACCAUUGUACUAUAAGAAUCUUACAUAAUCAAUCAAUGUAGAACCACAUAUAGGGUUGUUAACCUUUGAGCGAGCAACUGCAGAGAAAAGUAUACCAAUAAGUAAAAACAAACAUUAGAGGAAGAAAAUUUAGGAUAUGGAGUCAGCAGAUCUUCUCACCAUAACGAGCAAUGGCAUUGCUCUCAAAUACAGGACCCUCAGGUGUUUCCAACACAGGAACCUAGAAGAGUUAUAAAUAUCUUCAGUGAACAGACCUAGAAAAAAGGUUACAUAACAUGUAUAAAAAAAAUUCUCUAGUUUAAAUCUAUUAAUAGGCGUUACAAGGUCACCUUCCCCAAAGGGUUCAUCUUGAUGAACUCAGGAGUCUUAUUUGACACACCCAUCUCAAAAUUUUCAACCAUUUUGACCUGCACACCACUAUAUUCUGCAGCAAUGAGUGCCUUAAAGGCAUUUUUGUUUGUUUUUCCUGCAUGCAAGACCUGCAUGUAAAUCAACACACCACAUUGAUUAGAAGAACCGGUUGAUUAAGAAGUUGAAUUGAAUGUCAAACACCAGUCAAUCCCUACAACGAAUCCAGUAAAAUCCUGAAAUUGAUCCUUUUCGCCCCAUAAAUUCUCUUAAAGACCAUUCACUUUACAUUCUAAACUACUAACCGGUACUUAGCAUUUCCAUCUACCAUACACAAUUAACCUAAUUGACGUAACAUCUCGCCAUCCAUCUUUCUUCUGGUCAAUGGUUCCCAGUUGAAAUCGAAGGUGGUAGAGUUAAAAUCAAAAUCAAUUUUUUUAUCGUUAUGAUUAGUAUCUACAAAUCCAUAAACUAUUCCAUUGAUAGUAAUUAUAUAAAACAUAUUCAAUGUGCCACUUCUUUCGCAAUGUAAAAAAGCUAGUUACAAUUUUCACUUUCUAAUUCUACUCGAAAUAACUUCCACUUAAUCAUUAGGUGUCAAUUCUUUCAACAGUUAAACUACCAAAAGAAAUGAAACUAAUAUAUAUGCACAGAUAUAAAGCUUACCAGAGCCAUGGCUUGAUAGAAAAGAGCGCUACGAUUUGAGAACUGAGAUCUGGAAAAAAAAAAACAGAGAACAAAAUAAAAGGAAUAAGGAAAAAUAUUCAAGCAGGAGAACUUGAUUCCCAUGUAUUAAGGAGUAAAAAUGAGAGAAAGGAUUAAGAAAGAACCUUGAAGACGAAAUCGCAGCGAGAAGGAGCGGGAGAGACUGCGGGACAAAGAGAGAAUAAAAGAAAGGGGGACUAGGGUUUUUGUAGAGUAGAGCGAGUGUGAUGUGGGGUUAUCAGUUCGGGUUCCGGUUUAGAUCCAGAUUUACUAACCCCUUUCUUUUUCCGGUUUUUUUAAGCGUGUCUUUGAGGUAAUAAGUCAUUUCAAGAAUAAUUAAAUAAAAAUAAAUUAUAUAAAAAAUUCUCAUAACCAUUGAACCAUUGUUUUUCUCCAAUUUUCCUUUUCACAACAGUUUUGCUUUUUAUGUAAUUACACACAACUAAUUGAUCUGAAUCGAUUGGAUCACUAAUUUUUAAUUUAAUUGUUUAGAUCACUCUGAACAACACUACUUUUCUCAAAUUUUUUAUCUUGUGUCUAUUUUUUUUAUUACCAAUAUAAAUUAACUUGGAGUAUAAUGAUUUAUAUUUUUGCUCAUGCUUGAGGUUGUUUGUUUAGAUAAAAGUUAACUCAAGUGAGUUGUAUUUAAUUAAAAACUCUAUUGGUUUGAGUUCAAACAUUAUUAUAUGUGAAGUUUUAUUUUUUAAAAAGAUUAAACUACCCUCGAAUAAUCUAAUUUAUUUUAAAUAUGAAAAACAUUUUUGUAAUUUUUUGAGUUGAUGUCCGGUUAACUCGUAUCACUAACUCAACCAAGGGUUUAAAUAAUAGUAUAGAUUAUUGCAUUUUAAUUAAUUUUUAGAAGGAAUUAUUUCUAAAAAUAUGUUUUUUUGGUGCACCUCAAUAGUCAACACUAAUAACUCAUUUCCCUAAACUCUAGACCCCUAAUUUCAACAAAGUGUAUAAUUGUUGAAAUGUCCACUUGUUGGUCUAAGUGACAAACGCAAAGCACCAAGAUCAUUUUUUAUGCACUAAAUCAUCCACGGUGUUAUUAUAUUGGUUUACCUCAAAUCAAACAAUUUUUACUGAUCCCCAUUGUAACUACUACAAUAGAAAAUCUUACCCAUGCCCCUAAACCUAACAUUCAACUCGAUGAUUUUUGUUAAUCAUCGUGCUUAAACAAACCCAUAAAAAGUUUACAUGUAUAAUUGAAAAACCUUAACCUAUCUCCUUAAACCGUAAAUCCCCAUAGUUGUGGGUUGAGUAAGCUAGAAACCAUGGGGAUUUUUUGAACUUGGCAUCUCUUUCAAAUAACAUAAAAACCCUAACUUAUUUUCCUAAACCUUAACCCUAAAACUUUAAUCCCCAAACAAAACCUUAAACACUAAAUAGAAACAUUUAAUAAAUUCCCAUCAAAUUCUUUCCUCUAAGGGUUUUUAUGCAUCUCUAAUUUCAAUAAAAAGUAACCUCAACUCUCAAAUUCAGAUGCCUUUUGUGAUAAUGGAUUUCCUCAAGUGUUAGAGCGCCAAUUGAGUAUGAAAGCUUCUUUUAAACUAACUUUAAAUAGGCUUUAGGGUUUAUGAUAAACCUUGUUUAUGAUUAGUAUGAAAGAUUUCACUAUAUCAAAACAAUGUUUCAACACUUAUGGAAAACCAUGAUCUAAAUCAAGAGAGUUCAAGUUUUCCUUGAUUGAAGUUAGAUUUUGGUUGAAAUCAUUGAUCUAAAAGUGAUAGUAGCCAGAAUAGGUUGGAGGAAAUUAGUUUUAAAGGACUUUAUCAAAAUUUUAAUUUAGGGUUUAAGGUUUGAGGGGAAAAGGUAAAUAUUUAAGGGUUAAAAGAUUUUGGUUUGGGGUUAGAAGGAAAAGGUUAAGGUUCAACUCUUGUUCAUUAGGUAAAUUGACUACGAUCUUGACACCCAUGGGUUGUUCAGUUUUAGUAUUAAUAAAAUGCAAACAAAUACAUAACAAACAAUUCUUCAUCUUCCAAAAUCAAAGCUAACCACUAUUUAAAGAUAUUGAGUUUAGUACCCUAAAUGUAGUAUAUUUAUUUUGUAUAGUUGUAUUUUUCGAGAAAAUUGGUUUAAUAAAAAUAUUCAUUGAUUACAUUAAUAGCCUUUGUAUAUUAUCCUCAACGAUUUUGUAUGCAAAGAAAAAUGGAAACAAAGAUUGGCUCACUAGUUAUCUAACAUUUAACAAAUGCUAAAUGGUAUUACGUGGUCGGAUAGUAAUACAAAAAAACAACUUAUAUUAGUAGAUAAACCUAAAUAAGUCAUUAGUCUAAUUGGAAAUGAGCAAGCCGCUUUAAAGACUUAAGUCGUCUACCAAGUCCAAUUGGGGAGAUGCUUUGUCUUGAGCAUCAAAACGAAGGACUCCCAGAAGAUAGAGACAUAGAUGUCACUGACUGGACUGACAAUACAUUGGACAUGACCUAAGUAGGAUAGAUCCUAGAUUGUUUUAUGAAUUUAUUCACUUGAGACAUUCAUAGUGUGACAUACCUUAAUCCUGAGUGGAUGAUGGACUAUGCAUGUAUGACUCAUAUACUUUGAUGGAAGUAAAAGCCUAAAUUCAAAUAAAUAAGGAACCGAAAAAUCGGUAUAUUGCGUAUACGACUUCUACAACAUAUAGCAUCAUUCACAAUAGUGGAAUUCAUAGCUCAAAUAAUAAGUAAAUGAUAUCCUCUCAUUGGCAUUACAUGAUAGAUGAAAAGUAAACAUGGCCACGAGUCAUUUGUCUUUGUGAUAAAUGACUUGAUUACUAUUUAAUAGUACUAGGGACUGCAAACCCUAGUAUAUUUAACUAGGGUUGUCGCCCCGCCCUCCAAUCCUAGUUAGACUAGGAUUAUGUUUUUCUAUUGAAAUAGACUUCUAAUAAUUCAACAAGGGUUUCAAUUCUUCUCCCUAUAAAUAGAUGGAAACAGUAAGGCUAAAUACAAAACUUUGAGAUAUUGUUAUUCUGCCCGAAAAUAGUGAGAAUUUAUUUUCUAAGUAUAAAUUCUAUUUUCUAGAAUAACAAUUCUAUUGGUUUAUAUUAAAGAGAGAUUUUCUUUUCCACUAAAAGUAAAGUAAAUAAUUUAUGGUUCUGUGCUUUAUUUGAAUUUGUUCGAGCCCACAAUCGAAGUAGUUCGUGGUACAGGAAUAACAAAGAAGGCCAUUCGAUUGAAAGCCAAGAAUGACAAGGACCCGUUUAGUCGAAAGCAUAAGUGCAAUUUCUGUAAAGGUUUUAUUGAUAUAACUAUCACAAAUCGGUUUGAUUUUCAAAAUUUAAAUUUUUCACUGGGCAAAAAAACUGUUUUCAAAUCAAUUUUUUUCCAACUUUCAUAUUAACCAAGAAAUAAUAACUAGACUUAUGAAAGAUGAUACCUUAAGUUUGCUUAAGGAAAUUGAUAUUCCACAAUAUGAAUAUUGCUUGGAAGGUAAGAUGACUAAGUGAUCUUUUAAUGCAAAAGGAAUGAGGGUUGUGAAAUCUUAGAACUUGUGCACACUGAUAUAUGUGGCCCUAAGAACGUCAGUGUGCGAGGUGAUUAUGAUUACUACAUAACAUUUAUAGAUGACUAUUCCAGAUAUAGGUAUGUAUACCUAAAGCACCGUAAAAGUGAAACUUUUGAUAAAUUAAAAGAGUUUCGUGCAGAAGUGGAGAAAGAACUAGGUUUACCCAUAAAGACACUUCGGUUUAAUCAAGGUGGAGAAUACUUAUUGGAUGAGUUCUUUGGUUACCUCAUAGAGAAUGUAAUAUUAUCUUAAUUAACCGCGCCAGGAACCACACAACAAAAUGACAUGGCAGAGAAAAGGAAUCGAACCUUGUUGGACAUGGUUCAAUUGAUGUUAAGUUAUUCAUAGCUUCGAGUCUCCUUUUAGAGAUAUGUUUUACAAAUGACUUGCUACAUUUUGAAUGAUGUACCAACUAAGUUUGUACCUAAAACUCCAUACGAAAUAUGGAAUGGCAGGAAGCCAAGUCUAAAUCAUUUAAGGAUUUGGCGAUGGCCAGCCCACGUGUUGGAUAAAGAUGUGAGGAAAUUGGAUUCACAGAUAAAGUUGUGUAUGUUUGUGAGAUAUCCAAAAGUAAUAAAGGGUGGUUUGUUUUAUAACUCGAAAGAGAAAAUAUUGAUAGUGUCGAUUUAUGCUCCUUCAUUGAGAGGAGUUAUACGAACGACUUUAAAUCUUGAAGUAAAGAAGUACUUGAUGAACUUUGAGGAAGUACACAAAUCCUUGGUUUUAAAUCCAACUUCUAAUAAUAGACUUGUAAACAAUCAUCAACAUAAGGAGCUUCAUUGUAGUGAGAAGGUUUCUCGUAAGCCCGAGUUCUUCUAGUCUAGCAGAAGUGUUUUAAACACUGAGUUUUUUGAACAGGAAGAUGAUGACCAACUCACAUUUAAAAAAAUGAUGCUGAAUGCUGAUUCCAAGCUUUGGGAAAUAACUAUAAAAUCUGAGAUGAAUUCUAUGAAAUCCAGCUAAAUGGAUAUACAAGAAGAAAAGAAUGUGAAUGGAAAGUGGAAACUUAUAAGGCUAAACUUGUAGCAAAGGGGUAUACUCAGAAAGAAGGUAUCGAUUACGAAGAAGCCUUCUUUUUGGUUUCCAUACUCAAGUCAAUCUGUAUAUUGUUAUCCAUUGCGACGACUCUUAAUUAUGGAUCUGUCAAAUGGAUGCCAAGCCGAUAUUCUUUAAUGACUAUCUUGAAGAAGACACUUAUAUGAUGCAACCCACUCGAUAUAUAGCUAAAGGAAAUUAGCAUAAAAUUUACAAAUUGCUUAGAUUCAUAUAUGGACUUAAGCGAGCAUCCCGCUCAUGGAAUCAAAUAUUUGAUCAAAUGAUCAAAACUUUUGAAUUUGAGCAAAAUAUUGAUAAACUUUCUGUUUAUAAACAUAUUAAGGAUGGAAAGAUGGUUUUUCUUAUUGUAUAUGUCGAUGACAUUCUACUCAUUGGAAAUGAUUUAAGUACAUUGUCAUCGGUUAAAUUGUGAUUAACCCAACAGUUUAGCUUGAAGGACUUAAGAGAAGCUAUCUUUGUUCUAGGCAUUCGAAUUCUAAGGGAUAGAAAGAACAAAGUGAUAGCAUUAUCACUAGGUAUAUACAUAGACAAGAUAUUGAAAAUUUAUACGAUAACUGAUUCAAAAUUUAGUCAUUAUACUAUAGUGGAAUAACUUCACGACCAAAUAAGUUUAUAAUUAAUAGACGAAAAGUUGGACAUUAAUUAUAAAUUAUUUAAGCCCUAAUUACGUAUGUACAAUUGGUCCCCCCACUAGCUCGUUGAAAAAAAAAUUAAUUGCAUGUGGAACAAAAUGAAUAGAAAUGAAUGGAAAUGAUAAUGUCAGAGAAAUGAGUCACAUUAACAAAUUAAUGUGUUUUCUCACCAGGUAUAGAAAUGAAUUGAGAAAUUAAUUUAAGGUUUUCGAAUGAUUAUUUAAUUAAUUAUAAUUAAAUAAUUGAAGUUAAAAAAUGAAAUGAAAUUAAUUUUCUAUUAUGAAUGCUUUGAAUAAUGAAAUUAAAUAUACUUCCUCAUAAAAUCUUUUACAAUAAAGUUGUUAUAACUUUAACGGAAUUAGAAUUGAGUUGAGAUAAUUAUUUAAUUGAGUAAUUAAUUUAGUUAAUUAAAUUAAUUAAUUAAAUAAUAUUUAUUUUUGAAAAUAGAAAAUAAACAUUAGGUUGGAUUAAAUCAUAAAAUGCUAGGUUAAAAGUUUAGGAAACUCAUAUAAUUGAACCCAAUACAUGAGAGGUCAAAUUUGUCCCGUAUAACAUGUGAGCAACAACAACCCAAAGGGAAUUUAAGAGGAUGUGUUGCCUCCUCUCUCUUAGUUAGACAAAGAGAGUGUUUUCUAUUAAAAUAAUUGUUGAGUAUGACUCCUAUUUCAGUCAAAUUUGAAAAAUAAUCUUCUAGUUAAACUCUGUUUAUUUGUUUCAAUCAAAUUAUGAUUAGUCUAGAUUAUUUUUUUAUUAUUUGACCUAUGAAUUUAGCCUAUAAAUAGGCUCUUUUACAACUUUAGAAAAUACACCCAUUAGAGAUUAGAACUCAUACACUUUUGGAGAAUUUUUGUGUUUACAUUUUGAGGGUUCUUUGUUUUUUGGGGUUUCAGGGUUUAGUUUCUAUCUUCAUCUUUGUACUAUUCGUUCUUUUUUCAUUAUAGUAAAAUUAUUUUUGCCCGCAGUAUUUUAUCUUCUUUGGAGGGGUUUUUCUACGUUAAAUUUGUGUGUUCAAUUUCUCAAUUUCUUCCGGUAUUUUUACUUGUUCGUUGCUUAAUUGGGUCAAUCCCCAACAAUAACAUUAUUUGUUUAAGCCUUAUUCAACCAAGAUUCUUCUAUCUCUCUCUAUGAAUAGAUAGCACCGAUUGACUUAAAAAACACACUUAUUAGUUAUUGAUUUAUCGUUAUUCUACCAAAAAAUAGUGAUAAUUUAUUCACUUAGAAUAAAUUAUAUUUUUUGGGAAUUACGAUUUUUACCAGUUUCUUAAGAGAAUUUUUUUCCUACUGAAAGUAAUAAUAAUUUCUUGUUCGUUGUUUGGUUCGUGUUUCUCGAGCCCACGCUCAACCCAAAUCCAUCUUGCACAAUGUAUAGGUACUUUUUGGUAAAACGUUUAUUGCUAUAAACAUCAUAAAUCGGUUUAGUUUUUAAAAUUUUUAAACUUCUGCUAUAACUAUAAAUCGUUAUGAAGGAUUUUGAAGAACCAUAUUUUUAAGUGGGACCGUGUGUAUUAAAUCAAAUAAAAUUAUGAAGAAUUUUGAAAAACCACAUUUGUAAGUGGAAUUGGAAAAAGGAAAUUGAGCUACUGAGAUCCCCUCUUGAAAUUACUUAUAAAUUCUGAAAUUCUUUAAUAUAUUUACCCAAACAAAUAAAUUCAUUUUUAUAAAUUUAAAAAUCUUGAUAAAAAUAAAAUCCCUCCUAUAAAUCCCUCACCCAAACACACUUUUAAGUACCUAUGCAAGUUAGGAAGCAAAUGAUGACAAGGACUCAUCACUUACAAAUGAUCCAUUAGAAUGUCUGACCGGCAUUACACGUGUGUGCAUAAAACAACAAAUUUAUAAAAAAAAAUUUAUAGCAAGGUUUUACUGCAAUCAUGCAGGUUAGUUGUAAUAUUUGUAGUGUUACAAUGGAACACCAAAAUAUUCCAAGGAUCGAACUCAAAGGAGUUGGUGAUUUAAUGAUCUGCCACGAAUUAUUGACCGCCUUCAGACAUACUAACAUCUAGAGUGUGAAUAUUGCAGCAAAAGAUAUAUAUAAAUGAUGCGGUAUCUGCAAGUACACGGGUCAGGUUGUAAUAUAGUUACAACGAAGUAUGUGAGUACUCUGAGGAUCGUACCCAAAGGAGGCUAAUACUAGCUCAAUUUCAACCUAAACACCAAAAGAUCUAAUUAGUACUUGAAAUAAGUUAUAUUACGAAAAUAUAAAUAAUAGAGAUUUUUGGGGGUUUUUUAUAGUAAUGAAAAUAUGACAAGUAAUUAAAUAUUGAGAAAUUGAAAAGUGAAAUUAAUCAAAUCUGAUUAUGGGUGAUUAGCUCACUUCAGUAAUCUUCAUCAACUGCCGCUUUAGGUUCCUCAUCAAUCAACUAGUUGAUAUCCUAGUAGAAUCUUCCGAUGGAUCCACUAGAACAAUAAGUCAGCAAUGACUACUUAUCUUCUGACCUCACAGUCUAGACCGGUUUGAGGUGAAGGUGUUUACAGAUAGGCCAUAGCAAUUUUAGGUUAAUUUCCACCUUGAUAACUUCUUAGGGUCGUCAAGCCUAGGUUUUACGUUCUUCUUUUCCCAAACAGCUGAUCUGUUGAGUAAUCCUACAAAACAGUUAAUAUAUCAUAGCUCCACUCGCUAAUCCCCCAUAAAAGGAUUAGUUCCUCAUGGUUUUCGUAAACAAUAUAAAGUUGAUAUAAAGUGUAAACAUGAUAAUUGAAUCGAAAGUAUAAAGUUUAAGAAAAAGCCUGAUUUGUAUUACGAAGAAGAAUGAAUCCACAAAGUUUAAUCGUAUCCACAAGUCAUAUUUCCUGAGAUAAAACAAAGAACAAGCUGAAAUAAAUAUAAAACCUAAGAAAAGAUAAAUACUAAACUAAAAAUAAAAAGAAAGAUUCUAAGCUAAGUAAUCAGUGUCUAUAACAUGUGCCAAAUGAGCCUAUUUAUAGAUUUGAGGUGAUCGUCGUCCUUAACCCUAGGUUAGCUGACAUUCCCGAACUUUAAGUUGGAUUGUGCGGACCAAAAUACCCCCUGGCUCGUAUUAAUUCCCGUCAAGAGUUGAUGUUGCGACACAUCAAAACCUGUGUCGCGACAUAAAAGUCAGUAUACUUUUCUUCAAAGUGUCUUUAGGGGUAUGUCGCGACAUCCUUAAGCUGUGUCGUGACAUCAAAGGAAAUCUUAGAAUUCCUCCAUUCUGCUCCCUAUGUUGCAAUAUCGAAUCCUCUGUGUUGCGACAUAGUGACUAGUAUCAGUUUAGCACGCCUCCUAAUGGUCUCCUAUAUACUCACAAAGUUCAUUAGCUCACCCUUAGACCUCGUUCGACCCCUAAGGUCAAGAAAAGACUCAAUUUAUACAUUUUGUUGAAUUUAAUUAAACUUACUAAAACAUAAUUAAAAUCUAAUGAUAAUGCUUAUUUUCAAGCUCUUAAAGUGAAAAAAUUAGUUUAAUCUACUAACCCAAUUAUGACAGAUCAAUUAUAUUAUUAUUAUUUAUAUCACUUUUUACACGUAAUUUUAGCUUGUUUAAUAGUAAAUAAAAUUAUCUUAGUAUAUAUUUAUGUUUUCAUACUUGAAGUAAUGAUGUAUGCUUUUUAGUAGUUUUUAUUACAUUUUAGAUAUAUAAAUAUGGUUGCAUGGUCCUGUAGGACAAUCUGGGAGCAAAAGAUGCAUAUUCAUGAUGGAACUGUUGCCUAUGUCGCGACACCAACACAUCGAUGUUGUAACAUCAAAGGCAGAAGCAAAAACAAGUCAAUGAGCGAAACUGCUUGGUAUGUCGUGACAUAGCCUUACUAUCUUGGAGCGAAGACCUAAUAAAUUGUACAUAAAUUGAAACCUUGAACUCUUCCUUAUCCUUGGUCUUUUAAUACAUUACAAAAUAGACGUUAGGCUAUAGAUAUUGAGGGUUUAGGUAUAUACAUCAUGGUGGUUUCAAAAAAAUUUAGAGCGAAAAAAGAAGAAACAAUAUGAUACAAUGAUUAUAGGUCAAGCAAAAAUGUGCAAAAAAAGAAAAAUAUAGAAAAAGUAAAAAGUAAAAAUAAGAAGAAAAAGUACAAAAUAAAAGCAAAAGCCUUAUGAGUGAGAAAAAAAGUAAAAUGUCAAGUGGCAAAACAAAAAGUCACAAAAGUGAGAAAAACUCAGUCAUCAAUGCACAAAAACUCGUUGAGCCAACCAUAGUUAUUAGUAUUAUAUUGUAUCUUCCUACAUGGAGAGAUAAGGAAGGUGAGAGAGGGAGAAAAAAGAAGGUGAGCUUGAAAGGGGCACCUAGAGAGAGAGGGAAUAAUGUCAUGUGCCUAACUAUUUCUAGUGUUUGAACUAUUUUGAGCCAUAUCUUUCUUUGAACUCGUACAGUCCUAAGCCUCAGAACAUUACAAGCCUAGAAGACCAAUGUGACUUAAGCGUUCUCUGUGCAUAAUCUUCUAGUAUUGCUAAUGUAAUGACCUAAAUUCAAGGUUAGCGGAAUAGUGGUUUCGUAACCAUAAAUCCGAUUUAAAGAAAAAUUUAUUUUAAUAUUUUGCAUGAAUAUUGAUAUGAUAGGAAAACCGUAUGAAAAUAUUGAUAGAAAAAUUUUACCGAUUUAAUGGUUAGUUAGAAAAAGAAAUUAUUGAAGAAAUUGGGUAAAAAUAAGGUAUGGGGACCUUGAUCUCGUAAAACUGAGUCAGAAAUAUUUUUAUAAAUAUUUAUGAAAUGUAAGCAAUGUGGUAUUAAAAUUUUGUUAUAAAAUUUUAAUGUUUGGGUAGUCAAUUAAAUGAAAAGGACUAAAUUGAAAAAGGUGUAAAAGUGGCUGGGAUGAUUAAAUAGCUUAGGUGUCUAAUGAGAAAGGAUUUAAAAGGCAAUUAGACCAAAAUUUAUUUGGGCUGGACGGAAAGGGCAUGAAAUCAGCAAGAAAAUGGAUUAUUUAAGGGUAAAAUUGGAAUAUUGCAUCAUUAACUAAAUAAAAUUAGGACUAAUGUAGAAAUAUCUAGAUUUCUUGUGAUUUCUCUUCAUUCUCAUCAGCCAAAAGGCCAUAGGAGGGGUUCUUUAAGCUGGUAUUUCAUAAUUUUUGCACCAAGUGAGUUAAUCCUUGCCUUUUUCUUGUAAUUUUUGUGUUUCUAAGACUUUUACAACUAGGUUCUACUAUUAAAUUCAUUAGUUUUUGAUUUCAUGGAUGGAAUUGAAAGUCACCAUGGUUGAGUGCUGUAAGUUUAUGAUGAAAUAACAUGAAAUUGAAGCUUUAAUUUGUUUAUGAGAUGAUUUUAUUAGGUAAUUUUAAUAGAAAUUGAUUUUUAAGACCUAAUUGUGAAAAGUUGGAAUUAAAGUCUAGUGCUGAAAUUUUGAUUCCCAAAGGUUAUAAAGUAGUUUAAAGUGAUAGAAUAAAGUGUUAAUUGAGAAAAAUCAGCUCAAUUGAGAGGUUAAUUGAGCAGGGACGAAAUUAUCAUUUAUUAAAAGCUUAGGGGAAAAUGGUAAUAAACAUCUUGCACUAAAACAGCUUUGGACAGCAACAGUAGGCUAACUUUAAAAAAAUCACCAUAAAUUGUGGAAAUCUAAUUAGAGGAUAAAUAAAAUAUUGAAUUAAAGCUUAUUGAGUCUAGUUUCUUAUAGUAGAAACGGUGUAAGUAAUGGAAUUGUAAAUCAUGAGAUAUAUUAAAUUUUGUGAGACAAGGUCAGAAUGAAUUCGGAAUCCCCUGUUCUGAAUUUGGAAAAUCAUUAAAAAUUGGAGAAAAAUAAUUAAGGGUUAAAAUUUACAUAUUUAAACUAUUAAUGAGUCUAUUUUUAAUAGAAACAAACGGAAAUAUCAUCCAAAUUUUGUACUAAGAGAUAAUUAAUUUUUAGCAAAGAAAGGUCGAAGUUGUCAAACAACAGAACAGGGGUAAGUUUGAAGAUUUUACUGUACUCAUUGGCUGAACCAAAAAUUCUGAAAAUUUUAUGGUGAAAAUAUAUUUGAGUGUAGUUUCAGAAGCAUCAAAUGGUUUUUAAUAUGGAAUUCUGUAGCUUGAGAUAUAAAUAAUUUAGUGACUACGACUCAAGUAGACAGCUUUGAGUGAACAGUAAAUAAUAGUGGAAUUAUAGAGAAUGUUACAUAUGAACGUGAAAUGUAUUAAAUUGAUGAUUAAAUUUAUUUAUUUAGAUCCAGAAAAUUCAAAUAUGAAGCUAGAUCGAGGAAAGGAAAAAGUUCGGGAUUAGUAGAUUUUUGUAUACGAACAAGUAUCGAGGUAAGUUUGUGUAACCUGAAUUAUAUUCUUAAAUGCUUGAAAUGUAUAUUAUUGAUGUGAAUAUGAUUUAAAUGUUCAUUGUAUGAAAAUUGAUGAGACAUUGAUAUAUUUGAUAAAAAGGGGGAAAAAUCCCGGUUGAAUAAAAGGAAAAUUCGAUGGAUCUUUAAAAAGGAAUUGACGGUAAAGAAAAGAUCUAUCCCGGACAGGUGAUCCUACCCUGAUAUAGCCCUCUCGAAGAAUAUGUGUAAAAUAGAUUUAGCUCAGACGGGUAAUCUGAAUUAGGGUUUGAAUUUAGCCUGGACUAGUAAUUCAGAUCCAAGCUCAUUAGAGUAAAUUGUCGUUGUAGGGGAUUUAGCCUAGACUUGUAAUCACAACAAUACUCUAUAAGUUUAUAUUACAGGGGAUUUAGCCUGGACUGGUAAUCCUGCUGUAAGGAUGAGGUUCGCAGGAGUGUGCUCUCUGAAAUGGAAAUGUGCGCACAUGAAUAUGAAUUGACGGACCCGGAAUAGUACGCUAAAAGUGUACCUCUAAAAACCCAUCGAAAUUCCGAGAAAUUCAAUGGGAUAAAUAUGGUAAAUAAUAAGGGUAAUAGAAAACAUGGAAUUGAUGAGCUCAUCAGUCAUUAAUCUUUGUAUUGAACUCAUAUGAUGCUAUUUGAUUAAUGUUUUGGUUGAGUUUGUGUGAUAGGUAAAUGGUAAAUUGAAUGGAUGUAUGAAUAUUUAUUGUAUUGUAUUGGAAAUAUUAGGUAAGUAUAAUUCUUGUUACAUGACUUUACUAAGCACAACGUGCUUACCCUGUUUCCUUUUUCCCUGAUUUGUAGUAUUAAGAGCUCGAAGGUUGGAUUCGGUCGGAGAUACAUCACACUAUCAACUUCAACAUUUUGGUAUAUCAAGAAACUUUAUUUUGGAAUCACUGAUGUGUAUAAGUUGAUAGAGUAAAUGUUAAAGUGAAAUGAAUGUAAAGUUAGCCAUUGGUAUGGCUUGAAAUCCAGGUUUUGGUAUGUGAUGAGGUUAUCUUAUGGAUAUGCGUAAAUCUAUCUUGAAAAUAUGUUGAAUUUGAUUGGUUGAUUUGAUUUGAUAUCGGUGUAUGUUUUGGGCUUCGGAGGCCUAUCUAAGGGACGUCAUAAUAUGUUUCAAUAAAAGAAUAGUAUUUAACUCGUAAUAACGAAAAAAAAUAAUUUGAAAAACUCUGGCAAUGCCUCGUACCCUAUUCCAGUGACGAAUAUAGGUAAGGAGUGUUACAGCUAACAAUUGUACUUAAUGAAAAUUUUUUAUUCACAUGAUUGUAUCUACUCAAUAUCUAUUUGAUUUCUAUUAACGGUGAUAUUGUUAAACAUUUGGUUAUGAGAUUUGCUUCUAAUUUAUUAGUAAUGUAACUUUGUAAAGUAAUCUUAGUUUACUUUAAAAAGUUUUCAAUGCAUCGAACUAUCAAUAUUAAGUUGCAUGUGCGAUAAAAUUUUUUAUAGCUUUACUAUUUGACAACCAUGUUCGUAGUAGUAAUAAAUUCCAAGGGACGUCUUCUUUUUGCAUACUAUAUGUCUAAAGUUGGUUUGCUUGAGGACAAGCAAAAAGUUAAGUGUGGGGGAGUUACGUGUGAGAUUCUUAUUUACAUCCAUCUUCACUAACUUUAUCUUGUUUAAAUAAAGAAAUCAAGUCAUUUUCGUAUUAUUUUUUUUCCUUUUUCCCAUAUAUGUGUUUUGGUUGCUUGAGGACAAGCAACAAGUUAAGUGUGGGGGAGUGAUCUACCAGGAAUUAUACUAUUAUUUACAUCCCUUUGUAUACAUAAUUGUAUCUUGUUUAAUAGUAAAUCAAGUUAUCUUAGUAUAUAUCUAUGUUUUCAUACUUGAAGUAAUGACAUAUGUUUUUUAGUAGUUUUAUUACAUCCUAGAUAUCUAAAUAAGGUUAUAUGGUCAUGUGGGACAAAUCGGGAGCUAAACAUGCAUAAACGGGCCAAAAAUGAUGCCUAUGUCGUGACACCAAGACACCGAUGCCGCAACAUCAGAGACAAAAGCAAAACAAGUCUUGGGGUGAAACUGCUUGUUAUGUCAUAACAUAACAGGCACCAUAUUUGAUUUUGCAACACUACAUGCCUAUGUUGCAACACCACUUCUGCGCGGUCCAAAAGUCCUAGUGCGUGAUAGUUGCAUUUUUUAGGGAAAUUAGGAGAAUUUUUCCUAGUCAAACUCUAAGCACUUCAAAGAUAGUUUAGGCACUUUAAUAUUCUGAGUUUAGCCUAUAUAAAGGCCAUUGUAAUAAGUUCAAACACACAAUUUUAAGGAGACAAAAAUUAUUCUUAGGUUUUUAUUGCAUUCUUAGUUUCUACUUAGUUUAUUUUAUGUUCUUGUAAUCAAAAGAUCCUAUUCCAAAGUGAGACUUUUGCGAGCGGAGAUUGUUCGGAGCCAUACUUUCAUCGAUAAAUCUAUGAGCAUCUCUUUCCUUUAUUUUAUUCUUUAUAUUUCUUUCUUUAAAAUUGUUAAUUGAAUGUUUGUGUAAAGAUUAGAAUCAAUAUAAUUUAUAUAUAUUUCGCAUGUUUCAAUUGUACUAAUCUUAUUAAUUGAUUGAUUGAUAGAGUUUAUUUGGGUUGGUUAGAUUUGGUUGAGUGUUAUUAAACCCUAGGAUUGACAACCCUAAGAAGUCAUCUAGGUAGGAAUUAACUUGAAAUUGGUAUUGCCUACAAAGCAUCACUUAGCAAAUCAAUGGUUAGAGAAGGAAGAACUUAAACCCUAUGAUAGACGAUCCUAGGAAGUCAUAUAGGUGUGAAUUAACCCAAAUUCGGUAUUGCCUAUCCAUGAAAACCUUACCCUACCCCGAUCUGGACUGCAUCAUUGAGAGGUGAGUAGUUCUUGUCGUCUAGUUAGGUUAGUAGAAGUUGAGAAGCCCUGCUAGGUUAAUUAGUAACCAACUAUUUAGAUCCCUACAUCAAUAAUUAAUUAGGUAAAACAAUUGGAUCUAGGCUUAAGGAACUCCCGUAUUCGAAACAAGGGAUAGGAGAAGUUGAUACAUGAACUUAAGAGUAGAUUUAAGUUUAGAUCACUUUAUUUGGUUAUUAUUAUCAUCUUACUUUUAGAUUAACACUACUAAUUUAUACCUUUAGUAGAUUAGUAGUUAUUUUCGGUAAUUUGCUUAAUAGUAGUUUUUUUUUCACACUGCACAAUCUUCAGAAUACUUACCAAGUAUUUCAUUGUAAACAAACUAUAUUACAACCUGCCCCUUAUACUUGUGAACACAACCUUAAUUCCAUAUAUUUUGUAACAGUAUUCAUACUCUCAACGUUGGUAUGUCGGGAGGCAGUCAUUUAGCGAUUUCUAUUCAAAAGUGCAUGCAAGUAAGGAGACCGUGAUGGGCACAGUGAGGUGUCUAUUAGUUGAAAGCAAGUUGCCAAAGGAAUUUUGGGUUGAGGUAGUUAACACUUCAGUCUAUUUGGUGAACAGGCUGUCAACCAAGGAUGUGAAAGAAAAGACUCCAUUUGAAGCUUGGUACGGGUAUAAGCCUUUUGUUUCUCAUUUGAAAGUAUUUGGCUAUAUUUUUUUUUCAUGUACCUCAGGUGAAAAAAAGCAAAGUAGAAAGGAAAUCGUAGCCUGGGAUUUUUAAGAUGCUACUAUCUGAUUCUUAAGGAAAUACCAAUAUUUCUUCCUCCCUUGAGCUGGAAGUUGCGAUUUUGGGUUGUUAUGAGGAGAUAUUUUAUGUUUGGUUAAGUAGUAUGACUUUGUAUGCGAGUUCUGAAAGAGUAAGUUUGUUAGAUUUGGUAAAACAAAAAGAUAAAGAUAUGAGGCUUUGUUUGGGGACUUCUAAUGUUAGAAAUGUUAGUAAAAAGGUAUAUGAAUAAAUUUUGAUGUGCUUCUAUGUUCUGUAUCAGUGCUUGCUGUUGAUUUCGUAAUGAGAGUCUAGAUCUAGAGUUUUUCUUUGCGACAAGUUAGAAUCAGGUGAGUCUCUAAACUGACUCUUGUAUGUAUUAUUCAUACUAAAAAAACUGUAGGAAAUUUCUUGGAAGGUGAUGUGUGAUCUUGUAAGUUGCAGUAUGUUGUGUAUGUGACUUAGGAGUGACUAUUAAAGGAUAUAUAUGAGUGUGUGAAUGUUUGUUAAGAAUGGAAUACAUAUCUGGUAUGAAUAUGAUAGUUCUAGUAAGGCGAGGUGAGGUAUAGUUGCAUCUGAAUGUCAUGAAAGUAUAUGUGCAUGUCUUGGAUGUAUGCUAUGAGGAAUGUUCUAUUAAGAGCAAGUUGUUAUUCAAAUGGUGAAUAUGGAUCGUGUCAGUGCAUGUAGAGUAUCUGUCUGUCUUCACGGUAUUGUCUAAAGGAGUCUGUUGAGACUUUAAACACGAAUUCUGAAAAGAAAAUUCCAUGGCCAUGGCACAUUCCGAAAGGAACUAAAGGACGAGGAUUACCCAAUGGGGUUAUCUGCCUAUCCCAGGAUGAUGAUAGGCAAACCUCACGCAACGUGAGUUUAGGAAAAUCUAUAUCAUAAAUACGUCAGGAAAUGAAGCCUUUGUGGAUAACUCUAAAAAGAAAGCCUUUGUGGCUAACUCUAAAAAGGAAGCUUUCAUGGCGAACUCCAAAGGAAUAACCUCUAUGGCCAAUUGUAAUAGGAUAGCCUUUGUGGCGCAAUGUAAAAGGAACACCUGUGUGGCGAAUUAUGAAAAGAAUAGCCUUUGUGAUGGAUUAUGAAAGAGCAUCAUUCGUAGCAAACUUCAAAUGUGAUGUCCUUGUGGCGUGUCUUAAUAAGGCUCUUAGUGGGAAAACUUUAAAAGAUGUCACUUAUGGCAAUUUUUGAAUUAAGCUAAUUUUCGUAUUCAAUCUGGCUUUUAAAUGUAUUCAGAACACAAUCAACAAGGCAUAAGUUAUCUAUUAAUUAUACGGUGAAGUAUCACAUAGGACUAUCAAUCGAUUGGAAGUAUUGAAUUGAAGAGAUAUAUAGAAAUAAGGAAUUAGUAUGGAAAGUUUAUUUCAAAAUAAGGAUUUGGAAUUGUACAUUUGAAGAAGGUAUUUGUCAUCUACUCACAUGAUGGCUUAGAACUAAGUAUGGUACAGUAAUAGUGUGUUAGUUAAGUUGAUCUUGGAAAGGAAAUGCAAAGAUACUUAUAAAUGCUAGGAUGAAAGGCAUACGUGAUGUAUCGAAUACCCCAAUGGAAAAAGAGUUAAUUUUUGAGUAAGGCAUGAUAUAUAUAGUGUAUGAAGAAUGGAAUUUGAGGGAAGCAAUCGCCAAAGACAGGUUACUGGGCAAGAACAAUAAGAUCAUCUCAUUGAAUCAUCAACUGUAUUGUGCAAAUAUCACAUAGGUAAUUAUAUAUUCCUCACUUAGUUUGUAUAAACUUAUCCAUGUGUAUGUUAUAUUAUAGGUUUGAUUGCAAGGCUACACCAAGAGGGACGAUACCAGGACUACUCUAAAGGAGUGGCGUAUCGGGAAAUUAUGAAUGCAAUUAGUUGAUAUGUUCCUUAGAAUUCAUAUUUUUUUUGUAAUAUAUAGGUUUUAAAUUAGAAAUAUUUAUACCUUAAUUACCAUGUGUUGCAAAUGUAGUUAUCUACUGAACAUACUUAUAUAUUUAGUUUGAAAUCUGCAAUUGAAUAAGUUGUAAUUGUUUGAAAUUUGUAUAAGUAGGUUAAGUUUUUGUUUGUUUAUGUUGGUAAUGCCCAAGAUCUAGAUCCAAAAAAACGGACCAAGCUCAACAAAGGACUUCUCCUCGGCCAUGACUACAAUAAGCUCAGUGAUGCAUUGUCGGUGCAAAUAAUGUUCUUCCCAAAACUUCAAUCCAUCUUCAAACUAGUAGAAUGCUUCUUUUUCACUUAUAUCAGAUAUUUAAAGCAUUUAUUCACUAAAGUACUAAAUAGUGCCUUCUUGAGUAAGCCAGUGCAACUUAGCCCGAGCUUCCUUCUCGGCAUAUUAUUGGUAAAACUGUUUUUUCAUCUCCUUUUGGAACUCCUCCUAAAUUUUAAUUUUAGUCCUACCAUGUUUCUCAUCCGUGAACCUACGAUGCCACCAUAAGAGAGUAACAUCAGUAAAAUAAAUUAAAGCAGUGUUUACCUUAGUGACAUCUAUAAUGACCCAAAAUUCACGGGCAUCGAAAAAGUAUAAUAUCGAGCCUCCGUCUUGAGUUUAAAAAUAAUUAUUAGAAAUAUUUACGAGACUAGUUGUGUGUUUAAUUAGGUUUUAGAUAGGUGAAUUUGGCUCAAUUAAGAGUAAUUAGCAAAAGGGAUUAAAUUACAAUAGAAGUGAAAAUCUAAUCAUAGAUUAAAAGAAAGUAAAAAGGGCUAAAAUGGCAAUUAAGCCAUUUAAAAUGAUUGAGGCGGCAUAAAGGAAUAAAUUUUAAGAUUUUAUUUAUUUAAUUAUAUGAUUAAUGAUAUUUAUUGUUUAUUAUUAGUUAUUAGUUAUUAUUAAAUUAAAAGAUAUUUAGUAAUUAAAUAAUUAGUAUAAGAUUUUUGGGUAAUAAUAAAUUAUGAUUUUGCCAAGUGUGUGGUAAAAAUAAAAUACAAGUGUAUUAUAUUUCUUUAUUUACUUGAAAAUUAAGUAAAAGAUAAUUGUUAAUUAAAUAAUAAUAUUAUGAGAUUUUUAUUUGAUAAAUUAGUUAGAUUGAGACAAGUGUAUGUAAUGAUUUAAUGCAAGUGUACUAAUAAAAUACAUACAUUUGUAAUAUUUAUAAUUAGUUAAUAUAAUAUAAAGUAAAUGAAAUAAAAUGAAAUAAAAACAAAGCAAAAGAAAGGAAAGAAACAGAAUAGAAGAGACGAAACAGGGGAGAAACAGGGGAGAAAGAAGAAAAAGAAGAAAAUAGGGAAAAUAGGGUUUUUGAAGCUUGAAAUUUAAUUUGGUAAGUCAAAUUAGCCCUUUUCUCUUAAUUCUAAUGUUUUAAAAGCUUUAAAACAAAGUUUUGAUGGAAUUAAGUUGAUAUUUUGUAAGUUCAUAGGUUUUCAAGUAACGUUUAUGUUGAACAAAAGAGAUGAAUUAAGAAUUAAAUUGAAUGAAUUUUAAGUUAGAAUUGAAAAAGGGAUUAAAUUGUAAAAGAAACUAUAAGUUUUAUGUUUUAGGGACUAAAUUGAGGGAAAUUCGAAAUUAGCAAAAAUGCUGAAAUUUCGAUAGUUAAAUUUUAGUUUGGAUGAAAUUUGAAUAGAAAUAGAGUGUGAAUUGAAUUAGGAAAGCAAGUGAAUUUAGUUAGGAUUAAAUUGAGAAUUAGGAAGAAAUUGAAUAGAAAUUCAAUUAUUUAUUAUAAUUAGUGCUGUAAUUAAUAUUACAAAUUAUUAUUAUUUUCGUAGCUAACAAAGAACCCGAGGCAUCGGCGUCAAAAGGAAAGGAGAAAGUUAUCGAGGACUAAAACGGGAGAUUUACGGUUUGUAUUACUAUAAUUCAAAUUAUUUAUUUUUAAAUGUUUAAUUUUAAUUUAUGUGUUUAGUAAAUGAAAUGUGCGGUAAGUAUUAUUAUUAUUAUUAUUAUUAGUGGGAAUUAAACUGAAUAUUUGAUAUGAAUUAAUAUUUGAAUUGUUUGUUGAUUGAAAGUGGGAAGUGAAUUUAAAUCGAAUAGUGACUGAUAUUAAAUUGAAUGGAAAUGUAUUGAGUUGUGAAAAUGUGUGAAUUGCGGAUUAAUUAUUGAUUGAAAGGUGGAAAAAUGAUUGAAUUGAAAAUGUGAGAAAUUGUGAUUGAAUUGGGAUUAUAUGUGAUUUAAAUACCCUAUUAACUAGUCGGGCUGAGUCGGAUAUAGUUGGCAUGCCAUAGGAUUGGAAGAGUUCAGGGAUACUUCGACCUCGAGUCGAUGAGACACUGGGUGUCACUAUAUUUUUUCGGAUAGAUUCGAUGAGGUACUGGGUACCAACUUUCUUCGGCUUUGCCGAUGAGACACUGGGUGUCAACUAUUGCUUCGAACUAUCCGAUGAGGCACUGGGUGUCAUACUGGUGUGUUUGGUUGGAUCCGUGUAUCCGCCAAAGUCCGAGUUUUGUUAAUAGGGUAAUUAAUGAAAUGAUAAACCGAACGAGCUACUGAAAUGAAAUGAAAAAGUUGAAUUGUGAAUUGAAAUGUGAAAUGAGAUUGAGAAAUGAACCUAAAGUUCAUGAGAUGUUCAAAUUCAAAUUGUGGAUAUGUGAUAUUGAUUGAUGGAUUGCUAUUGUUGAGAUAUUGAAUUUAAAUUGUAUAUACGAUUUAUGCAUUACAUGUACAUUAUUGUUAUAAUUUGAAUUAUGGUAAUACCACUGAGUAUGAAUUACUCAGCGUACGGUUGUUUCCAUGCGCAGGUCGAUAGAAGUCAAAGGUCUCGGUUCAGCAUCCAGAUUAAUCCCGGCUUCAGCAUAACUUUGGUGAUGUAUAUUUUCUUUUGGUAAUGUGGCAUGUACAUAGGAAUUAUAAGUUUUAUAUAAAUGGUUAAAAAUGUUAGUAUUAUAAGUUUAUGAAUUAUAAUGAAAGAAGUUUAUCUAUUUUAAUCUAAUUAGUCAAUGGAUAAAUUUAAAUUGAUAUUAUGUUAAUUGAGUUUGAUUAGAAGUAUUUAGAAUAGAAAAUGUGAAUGUGAAAUGAAUUGGUUGAUUUGGUUAUAUUUGAAAAUGUUAUGGAUUUUAAUUGCAGGGGGUUGUAUGUAAAAAUAAGCAGAAGUGCUGCCGAAAUUUUUCAAAAAAAAAAUGAAUGAAGUUUAUUAGCGAAAUUUAUAUGAAUUUAUGACUCUCUUUUAUAUGUUCGUUAAUUGUUUAUGAAUUAUUUGAAAUUUGUCUGAAAUGUCCGGUAAUGCCUCAUAACCCUGUUCUGGCAACGGUUCAGGGUUAGGGGGUGUUACAGUUGUUGGUAUCAGAGCUAUCAGGUUUAGCCGAUUCUCGGCCUAAAUCGAGCUCGGAAUUGAGUCUAGAUGUACAUGCCACUGUCGAGUCAAACUGAGUCGAGAUUUUUGGAUGCUGACCUAUUUGUUUGCUUUGUUUUAUAGAUUAAAGAUGUCUGAAGAAAGAAUAAAUGAUACUGAUGAAAGAAUGUAUACUGAAGAUAGAGAAUUAGAUGAAACAGAAUCUGCUGCACCGAGUGUGAAUCUGUUAGGCAACCAGCCUCCUAAUGUGGAACGGGAAAAUGCCAGAGAUAGAGAUGAAUCCCAAUUACUGAGAAUUAUAGCUGAUGCAUUACAAAGAGUAGCGAGAACUACUCCUGCUACGACUUCAGUACCUACUGUUAGACGGGCCCCGAUAAAAGAACUGAGAAAAUAUGGUGCCACUGAAUUUAUGGGUCUAAAAGGAGUCGAUCCAUCCGCAGCUGAAAAUUGGAUGGAGUCGAUUAAAAGAAUUUUGCAGCAAUUAGACUGUACCCCCCGUGAGUGUUUAAUCUGUGAUGUAUCGUUGCUACAAGGGGAGGCUUAUCUAUGGUGGGAAUCAGUAGUUCGACAUCUAUCAGAGAGUCAGAUAACGUGGGAUCUAUUUCAGAAGGAAUUCCAAAAGAAAUAUAUCGGAGAGAUAUAUAUCGAAGACAAGAAACAAGAGUUUUUAAUGUUACAACAGGGGGAUAUGUCAGUAAUAGAUUAUGAGAGAGAAUUCUCGAGACUCAGCAGAUAUGCCUCCAAAUUUAUCCUGACAGAAGCUGAUAGUUGUAAAAGAUUUCUAUGGGCUUUGCGAGACGAGAUCAAGGUACAGUUAGUAUCUCAUCGGAUCACUGAGUUAGUAGAUUUGAUUGAGCGGGCUAAAAUGGUGGAACAAGUUCUAGCCCUUGAUAAAAAGACUGAAGUUGUUAGACCAACCAGGAAAUGUACAGGAACUACGAGUUCGAACCUUCAGCCGAAAAGACCAAAGGAGUCUCAAGGUGGUUGAAGAUCCAGUUUCAGAUCAGGCAAAGGUGGUAGAAGCAGGGGAAGAUAGAUGACGGUAUCUACUGGCAAUGUGAGAGGUCCUUGUCGAGAAAUAGAAAUUCCAGACUGUCAACACUGUGGAAAGAAACAUAGAGGGGAAUGUUGGAGAUUAACUAGAGGUUGUUUCCGAUGUGGUUCUACAGACCAUUUUAUCAGAAAUUGUUUGAAAACUGAUAGUACUGUACCCGUGACAUCACAGAGAUCGGUAUCUACUGCUAGAGGCAGAGGGUUAGGAAGAGGUGGUUCGGUUUCAAGGGGAGGAAGUAUUAGGAGGAGUAGUGAUAUUGCUACCCAGCAGUCUGAAGCUAAAGUACCUGCCAGAGCUUAUGUGGUCAGAACACGGGAAGAAGGCGACGCCCACGGUGUAGUAACAGUAAGAUCAGAACUGUAUGUGAGUUUCCAGAUGUAUUCCCUGAAGAACUACCGGGUUUACCACCUGACAAAGAGGUUGAAUUUGCUAUAGAAGUGUAUCCGGGUACAACACCAAUCUCUAUACCACCGUAUCGAAUGUCGCCCACUGAGUUAAAAGAGUUGAAAGUGCAAUUACAGGACUUGCUAGAUCGUGGAUUUAUUAGACCGAGCAUUUCACCUUGGGGAGCUCCGGUAUUGUUUGUUAAAAAGAAAGAUGGAUCGAUUCGGCUUUGUAUUGAUUACCGGCAGUUAAACAAAGUGACGAUCAAGAACCGGUAUUCGUUACCCCGUAUAGAUGAUUUAUUUGAUCAACUAAAAGGAGCUUCAGUAUUUUCGAAGAUUGACUUGAGAUCUGGGUAUUAUCAGCUGAAAGUAAAAGAAAGUGAUGUUUCGAAGACUGCAUUUCAUACUCGAUAUGGUCAUUAUGAAUUUUUGGUAAUGCCGUUCGGGUUGACUAAUGCUCCAGCUGCUUUUAUGGAUUUGAUGAAUCGUAUUUUUCAGCCAUAUUUAGACCAGUUUGUGGUGGUUUUUAUUGAUGAUAUAUUGGUUUAUUCAAAUUCGGAGUCAGAGCAUGAUCAGCAUCUCAAAACCGUGUUACAGAUUCUGCGGGAAAAAUAGUUGUACGAGAAACUGAGUAAAUGUGAAUUCUGGUUAUCAGAGGUAGUAUUCUUGGGACAUGUUGUAUCUGCGGAUGGGAUUAGAGUUGAUCUGAAGAAGAUUGAGGCAAUUGUUCAAUGGAAGGCACCAAAGAAUGUAUCAGAGGUACGCAGUUUUCUUGGUUUGGCUGGGUAUUACAGAAAAUUUGUAAAUGGGUUUUCGAAGAUAGCUUUGUCGAUGACCAAGUUACUACAGAAGAAUGUUCCAUUUAUCUGAGAUGAUCAAUGCCAGAGAAGUUUUGAAACAUUGAAACAAAUGUUGACAGAGGCACCAGUCCUAACUUUACCAGAAUUAGGGAAAGAUUUCAUAGUGUACAGUGAUGCUUCUUUGAAUGGUUUGGGUUGUGUAUUGAUGCAGAAUGGAAAAAUAAUAGCUUAUGCAUCUCGACAGUUGAAACCACAUGAACGUAACUACCCGACACACGAUUUGGAGUUAGCUGCUGUAGUAUUUGCAUUGAAGAUUUGGAUACAUUACUUGUAUGGUGAGAAAUGUUAUAUUUACACUGAUCAUAAAAGUCUCAAAUAUCUUCUGUCACAAAAGGAGUUGAAUCUGAGACAGAGACGAUGGAUAGAACUUCUGAAAGAUUAUGAUUGUGUUAUAGAUUAUCAUCUAGGAAAGGCAAAUGUGGUAGCAGAUGCAUUGAGCAGAAAGGCAGCGGCUGAAUUACGGACAAUGUUUGCUCGGCUUAGUAUUAAUGAUGAUGGAAGUUUGUUAGCUGAGUUAAGAGUUAAGCCGGUAAUGUUUGAUCGAAUCAGAGCAGCACAACUAGAAGAUGAGAAGUUGAUGAAGAAAAGAGAAAUGGUACAGCAUGGUACGGUAGAAAAUUUUAGUAUUGACGAGCAUGAUUGUUUGAGAUUUCGGAAUCGAAUUUGUAUUCCAGCUACUUCUGAGAUUAAAGAGCUGAUUCUUCGAGAAGCACAUGAUAGUAUUUUUGCUUUGCACCCAGGUGGAACGAAGAUGUAUCGCGAUCUACGAGAACUGUAUUGGUGGCCAAGAAUGAAGAACGAUAUAGUUGAGUAUGUCAGUAAAUGCUUGACUUGUCAGCGGGUAAAAGCAGAACAUCAGGAACCAACAGGUCUGUUACAGCCUAUUACUAUUCCCGAGUGGAAAUGGGAUCGCAUUACCAUGGAUUUUGUUAUGGGGUUGCCAUUGUCAGUGAGUAAAAAGAAUACCAUUUGGGUGAUUGUUGAUCGACUCACAAAGUCAACUCAUUUUAUAGUAGUUAGAACCGACUGGUCAUUACAGAAGCUUGCCGAGGUUUAUAUUCGAGAAAUUGUUAGAUUACAUGGUAUUCCGGUAUCAAUAAUUUCAGACAGAAAUCCUCAAUUCACUUCGAGAUUUUGGAAGCAGCUGCAUGAAUCAUUGGGUACUCGACUUAGUUUCAGUACAGCUUUUCAUCCUCAAACUGAUGGACAAUCUGAACGGGUAAUUCAGAUAUUAGAAGAUAUGCUUCGAGCUUGUGUCAUUGAUUUUGAAUCAGGUUGGGAACGUUAUUUACCAUUGGCCGAGUUUGUUUAUAAUAAUAGUUUCCAAUCUAGUAUUCAAAUGGCUCCGUAUGAAGCACUUUAUGGUCGAAGGUGUCGGUCACCAGUAUGUUGGACAGAAUUAAAAGAAAGAAAAGUGAUUGGGCUGGAAUUAAUUCAAGAGACAGAAGAAACAGUUAAGAAGAUUAAAGAUAGACUGAAAGCCGCUUUUGACAGACAGAAAUCUUACGCAGACUUGAAACGACGAGACAUUGAAUAUUCCAUUAGUGAUAAGGUAUUCCUCAAAGUAUCGCCGUGGAAGAAAAUUUUGAGAUUUGGUCGGAAGGGAAAAUUAAGUCCGCGCUUUAUUGGGCCGUAUGAGAUUGUGGAAAGAAUUGGGCCUGUUGCUUAUCGAUUAGCCUUACCUCCAAAGUUACAGAAAAUUCAUGAUGUUUUUCAUGUUUUGAUGCUUCGGAGAUUUAGAUCGGAUUCUUCUCAUAUCAUUCCCACUGAAGACAUUGAAAUUCGAUCUGAUUUAACUUAUGAAGAAGAACCAAUUCAGAUAUUAGCACGAGAAGUGAAAGAAUUAAGAAAUAAACGGGUUCCUUUAGUAAAAAUUUUAUGGAGAAGUCAUAGUGUGGAAGAAGCGACUUGGGAACCGGAAGAGACAAUGAGAGCACAAUAUCCUCAUCUCUUCUCAGGUAAAUUUCGAGGACGAAAUUUAUUAAGGGGGAGAAAUGUAAUGACCCAAAAUUCACGGGCAUCGGAAAAGUAUAAUAUCGGGCCUCCGUCUUGAGUUUAAAAAUAAUUAUUAGAAAUAUUUAUGAGACUAGUUGUGUGUUUAAUUAGGUUUUAGAUAGGUGAAUUUGGCUCAAUUAAGAGUAAUUAGCAAAAGGGAUUAAAUUACAAUAGAAGUGAAAAUCUAAUCAUAGAUUAAAAGAAAGUAAAAAGGGCUAAAAUGGCAAUUAAGCCAUUUAAAAUGAUUGAGGCGGCAUAAAGGAAUAAAAUUUAAGAUUUUAUUUAUUUAAUUAUAUAAUUAAUGAUAUUUAUUAUUUAUUAUUAGUUAUUAGUUAUUAUUAAAUUAAAAGAUAUUUAGUAAUUAAAUAAUUAGUAUAAGAUUUUUGGGUAAUAAUAAAUUAUGAUUUUGUCAAGUGUGUGGUAAAAAUAAAAUACAAGUGUAUUAUAUUUAUUUAUUUACUUGAAAAUUAAGUAAAAGAUAAUUGUUAAUUAAAUAAUAAUAUUAUGAGAUUUUUAUUUGAUAAAUUAGUUAGAUUGAGACAAGUGUAUGUAAUGAUUUAAUGCAAGUGUACUAAUAAAAUACAUACAUUUGUAAUAUUUAUAAUUAAUUAAUAUAAUAUAAAGUAAAUGAAAUAAAAUGAAAUAAAAACAAAGCAAAAGAAAGGAAAGAAACAGAAUAGAAGAGACGAAACAGGGGAGAAACAGGGGAGAAAGAAGAAAAAGAAGAAAAUAGGGAAAAUAGGGUUUUUGAAGCUUGAAAUUUAAUUUGGUAAGUCAAAUUAGCCCUUUUCUCUUAAUUCUAAUGUUUUAAAAGCUUUAAAACAAAGUUUUGAUGGAAUUAAGUUGAUAUUUUGUAAGUUCAUAGGUUUUCAAGUAAUGUUUAUGUUGAACAAAAGAGAUGAAUUAAGAAUUAAAUUGAAUGAAUUUUAAGUUAGAAUUGAAAAAGGGAUUAAAUUGUAAAAGAAACUAUAAGUUUUAUGUUUUAGGGACUAAAUUGAGGGAAAUUCGAAAUUAGCAAAAUAUGCUGAAAUUUCGAUAGUUAAAUUUUAGUUUGGAUGAAAUUUGAAUAGAAAUAGAGUGUGAAUUGAAUUAGGAAAGCAAGUGAAUUUAGUUAGGAUUAAAUUGAGAAUUAGGAAGAAAUUGAAUAGAAAUUCAAUUAUUUAUUAUAAUUAGUGCUGUAAUUAAUAUUACAAAUUAUUAUUAUUUUCGUAGCUAACAAAGAACCCGAGGCAUCGGCGUCAAAAGGAAAGGAGAAAGUUAUCGAGGACUAAAACGGGAGAUUUACGGUUUGUAUUACUAUAAUUCAAAUUAUUUAUUUUUAAAUGUUUAAUUUUAAUUUAUGUGUUUAGUAAAUGAAAUGUGCGGUAAGUAUUAUUAUUAUUAUUAUUAUUAGUGGGAAUUAAACUGAAUAUUUGAUAUGAAUUAAUAUUUGAAUUGUUUGUUGAUUGAAAGUGGGAAGUGAAUUUAAAUCGAAUAGUGACUGAUAUUAAAUUGAAUGGAAAUGUAUUGAGUUGUGAAAAUGUGUGAAUUGCGGAUUAAUUAUUGAUUGAAAGGUGGAAAAAUGAUUGAAUUGAAAAUGUGAGAAAUUGUGAUUGAAUUGGGAUUAUAUGUGAUUUAAAUACCCUAUUAACUAGUCGGGCUGAGUCGGAUAUAGUUGGCAUGCCAUAGGAUUGGAAGAGUUCAGGGAUACUUCGACCUCGAGUCGAUGAGACACUGGGUGUCACUAUAUUUUUUCGGAUAGAUUCGAUGAGGUACUGGGUACCAACUUUCUUCAGCUUUGCCGAUGAGACACUGGGUGUCAACUAUUGCUUCGAACUAUCCGAUGAGGCACUGGGUGUCAUACUGGUGUGUUUGGUUGGAUCCGUGUAUCCGCCAAAGUCUGAUUUUUGUUAAUAGGGUAAUUAAUGAAAUGAUAAACCGAACGAGCUACUGAAAUGAAAUGAAAAAGUUGAAUUGUGAAUUGAAAUGUGAAAUGAGAUUGAGAAAUGAACCUAAAGUUCAUGAGAUGUUCAAAUUCAAAUUGUGGAUAUGUGAUAUUGAUUGAUGGAUUGCUAUUGUUGAGAUAUUGAAUUUAAAUUGUAUAUACGAUUUAUGCAUUACAUGUACAUUAUUGUUAUAAUUUGAAUUAUGGUAAUACCACUGAGUAUGAAUUACUUAGCGUACGGUUGUUUCCGUGCGCAGGUCGAUAGAAGUCAAAGGUCUCGGUUCAGCAUCCAGAUUAAUCCCGGCUUCAGCAUAACUUUGGUGAUGUAUAUUUUCUUUUGGUAAUGUGGCAUGUACAUAGGAAUUAUAAGUUUUAUAUAAAUGGUUAAAAAUGUUAGUAUUAUAAGUUUAUGAAUUAUAAUGAAAGAAGUUUAUCUAUUUUAAUCUAAUUAGUCAAUGGAUAAAUUUAAAUUGAUAUUAUGUUAAUUGAGUUUGAUUAGAAGUAUUUAGAAUAGAAAAUGUGAAUGUGAAAUGAAUUGGUUGAUUUGGUUAUAUUUGAAAAUGUUAUGGAUUUUAAUUGUAGGGGGUUGUAUGUAAAAAUAAGCAGAAGUGCUGCCGAAAUUUUUCGAAAAAAAAUGAAUGAAGUCUAUUAGCGAAAUUUAUAUGAAUUUAUUACUCUCUUAUAUAUGUUCGUUAAUUGUUUAUGAAUUAUUUGGAAUUUGUCUGAAAUGUCCGGUAAUGCCUCGUAACCCUAUUCUGGCAACAGUUCGGGGUUAGGGGGUGUUACAACAUCAUCCUAAUACCCAACGACUGAUAGUGUUGUUCCAUUUCCCACAAGAAGUUGUCCACUUCUCUAGUGGACCUUCCCCCUCAAACUUCUCUGGUUUGGGAACAUCCAUCUUCCGUUGAUUUGGUCUCGAAGCCAACAUCUUAUUGCUCAAAUUAGCCUUAUAGAUUGUGAGCUCCCCCUUAAGCUCCUCAAUUUUUUCUUUCAAGGUCAUCAUUGUGGCCUCAAGAGCAUCAUCCGUCACGGUCAACUUAUCCACAAUGGAACUAAGCAUCCAUUGCAUCACUUCCACAUUAGAACCGAGAGACUCCAAGAUAAAUUCCUUGAAUUUCUCCUUCAUCGAGUUUAACUCAUUGGUGCGUCGCUCAACUACCUUGAGUGUCUCCCCCAUAUCUCCAAUAGGCUCCUCAAGAUUGGUCACUUGAAUUGCCAAAGCCGACAGCAUUUCCCUCGAUCAAUUAGCUUUGCUAGAGCUCCCGUGGGUCUCCAUAGGCUUAAUUUGAUCUUCUACUCCUUUUGUCAUCUCAAGUGGCACUUUCAAAACCUUAGCUCUAAUACCAACUAUCACAGGGGUAGAACUUUAGUCUCACAAUCCGUGCGACCUUAGGCAAAUUCUUAGGUUCAAAUCCGCCUAAGUUAGUCUAACUCUUGCAAAGUGAAAAAUCUUGAUAGAAAUUCUCUAAGGUGCAAAAAAUAAAGUGAAAGUAAAUCAAAACAAAAGAACAAAAAAUGCCACAAGAAAGCAAAGUACAUCAAGUGUUUGAGUAAAUGUUCUCAAAGUAUUCUAUUACUCUGGAAAUAAUACAAAAAAUAGGAUAGGAUACAAUGGAAUAUUACAAAUGAGGGAGAAUGCCUCUAUUUAUACUUGAGCUCCCCAAGCCAACGAUAUAGAUUGAGUUACAUUAAUGAUUGAGAUUAAAUCCUAUCUACAAUUGAGAUUCUUAAAGGAUUGACUUAAUCUUUUAAGAUUAUAAAAUCAAGUCUUAUCAUGUUACAUAUCUUCUAAGAUUGGUUUCCUUAUUUGCCAAUAUAGCCCUAAUUUUCCAUAAAUGCUUCACUGGACUAUCAAUGCUUCAAGUAGACAGGCUUCUCCAUAUGCUCCACAAAUCGGGCCAGUUCAAAUGCGUCGAAUGAGCCAUGUUUCAUCAUUUGACCUCCAUGGGACAAUCCUUGGCAUUCAUCACGGGCUCUGAUCCGUGACCCAUGACAUAAGCACAUAAAUGUUUAGUAAGUUUAAUUGACAAGUAUUAUACUUAUCUUGCUAGGUGGACCUACAAAUUCAUUGCUCAACAAGCUUCAUAUUCUCGUAUUAGUUACUUAGCAUAAGAUAAGGAAAAUGUGUAGGUAACCAUGUUCAUUAAGUCUAUACAAGCAAAUUAUAACAUGUCCAAUAAGUGUUCAUUAUAUUCUAUUGAUCACAUGUGCACCUAUUUCCACUUUAUUACUACCUUUCAAUUCCAAUUUACGAGUUAAGAUAAUCAAGUUCAUACCUUUUUCAACCUUAAUUCUUUUCUUUAACCAUUUCUUGUCCAAUUUCAAUUUUGUAGCCCAUGUAAUCUUAGUAAAAUAGGACUCGGCUACUAUGAGAAAACCAAAAAUGCUAAGCCCAAAGGCCAUCACAUAUCAUAUCAUGUAGGCCUCCGAAGAGGUAUUGAAAGUCUAAUGGUCUAUAACAAAUGUUCUACCAAGGGUAAGCUAGAACUGGGUUUUCAGAAAACAAACCACAUACCUCUGAACCUCACACCACAACAAAUGUACUUAAGUGUAAGGCACAAAGGCAACAUAUAACAAAUAGGUUCAAAGGCGACAUACACAUAUAACUCUAAUUGACAUGUCAAUCGUAUCCUAACCUUUCUACCAAGUUUACAUAAGCUAUCAUUAACAUACUAAAGAAUUCACAUUUAAGUACCAUUAAGGCAAUUUUUCAUAUGUAUCGUCAUAUUUCCAUAAUGCCACACUUUAAUCACAAGAGUUAAGAUCUUCAAUUGAGGUUUUCAUACCACAUGAAUUUACGUGUUUGUUUAUUCACGUUAACAUGGUUACGUAUAUCAUAAUCAUACUAAAUCUUAACUUGACAUAGUCAAUUACCAUAUUUAACACGUUCUUUCAUAUUUAAUUCUUUGCAUAACAUAGUUCAGUAUAUAAACAUAUUAACUAGUAUAUUCCAUUAAGGUUCUGUUAAUAUACUCAUUAAUUAAUCGUCCAUUCAUGAUCUUAACAUGUUAUAUUCAUUAUGCAUCAAAUUAAAUGUUGUUGAGCUAUUUAACACCUAUAAACAUUGUACUAAAGACACAUAAUAAGCAAAUAUUGUAAGUUCAAGUGAACUUACCUAUUAAGAUCAUUUAAUGAUCAUCAAUUUAAAUUUUCAUUUCCUUAACUUAAGAUUCUACUCAAAAUACACACAACACAUACAAGCAUUGAAUUAAUAAUUUGAAUCUCCUUUGGUUAGUCUUACAAGCAUUGGAUUAAUUGAAUUCAACACUUGAUAGCCAUAUAGUGGCCAUUUUACUUGUUGAAAAUUCAAGAAUGCUUAACCUUUGAGCCUUAGACUUUUAUAUCCAAAAUUGAUAUAACUCGUAAUUUUCCUAUUCAAUUUUUGUUCCAACUUUAAAGUUAUAAUUUCAAGACCUCAAAUGAUCCAAAAACAUGUUUAAACUCCAAAGUUCUCAUAAUUAUCUCUAAGGCUUCUUAAGUACUCAACAAUGGUGGUAUGAACAUCCUUUAACCAAUUUUUAAUCCACCUUCUUUUCUAACUUACACUCUUCUAAGUUCAUCCCAACAUAAGCAUUGAACUAUCAUGAUCAAGCUUCAUCUCUUUCAGUUCCAAGCAUUCAUCUAUGAUUAUCUAAGGAUUUUUCUCAUCAAUUUUAACAUCGAAAAUGAAUGGGCUCAUGCUUAUCUAUUAUUUUAUGCUAUCAAUUAAACCAAAAUUCAAAGGAAACUUAUCAAUUUCUUGAAGAGCAACUCACGGCACCAUGAAACCUCCAUGAAAAUUUUCUUUUUCUUCUUUGUUCUUAAACCAUGGAGAAUGGAUGAGGAUGACCACAUAAUAAGCUUAUUCUCCCACCCACUAAGUAUAUAUAUACCUAAUUAAUCAAUUUAUUAACCUUUAAUAAUAAUCAUCCAAUGUUGGGAUUUAAGCAUGGCAAAUUGAGCGGAAAUGUAUGGCUUUUACCAUGCUUCUCCACUAAGUAAAUAAAUGAUGGUUUAUUUGUCAUUUUAAGGCAUUUGAUUAAUUUUUCAUCCAAUCCUCCAAACCUUGCUAGUGCAUAUUUAGAUCUUAUGCAUCAAUUACUAAUUUAUCAAUUUAAUCCCUUUAAUAAUUCUCGACAAUAUUUCAUAUCUACUUCAUUAACUUCUCGAUUAAUAAUAAAUUUUUGAAACGGCUUGAUCGAGAAAUCGAAUUAUUCCUAUCACAGCGAAAAAUAGAUCAUCAAACUAUUUUAAUUUGAUUUAUUAAUGUCUUUUCCAAAUUCGUAUUUAAUUAAUAAAUAUUCCACAAUAACCUUCAUUAAUUGAUAAUUUUUCCUUGUAUUAUAGGAGAUUUAUAAAUAUUCAUAUUGUAGCAUAAGUAAACUCAAUUUAAAGUGCACAAGGAAAUAGUCAAAUAUCUCAAACUUCAAGAGCCUUUAAUUAAGCCACAAUGUGUUCGCACACUCUAUUAACACUAGUGAAUUUCAUUAAUUAUAAUUUGAUCAUUAGAGUACUAGCUAAAAUUUUAUCCCAAGAUUCAAAUUGUCUUUCAAUAAAUCCUCGACAAUUUUGUGGUCUCUAACUCAAAAUUUUUUUACUUUUGUGAUAUUCGUAAAGAACAACUUCAGCAAGUAAUUCAUCUUUAUGAAUAGUCAUCACUAAUUAAAUCAUGCAUAUUAAAUUUGAUAUCAGAAAAGCUUACAAGUCGCAUCAUAAAUACAUAAUUGUGAUAUAUUUGAAUGGUUUUCCACCUCAGCAUAGGCUUAUUUUAGAGUAAAUUUGUAUGCAUUUUAGGGAAAAAUACCAAAAAAACCAAUUUUUUUUUAAAUUUACCGAAAUGGGCUCAGUAUUUUAUUAUUUACCGGAAUGGGCAUUUUCCCCGAAACCGCGUCCACGUCAGCACGAUGUCAAGGUACGUGCCAGGAAAUCGCGGCCACGUCAGCGCGCUUUGCUGACAUGGCAACAAAUCGCGUCCUCUAAAGCGCGAUUUGUGUCCACGUCAGCAAAACGCUCUGACGUGGACGCGAUUUCCUGGCACGUACCCUGACAUCGUGCUGAUGUGGAUGCAAUUUCGCCGUGUCUCCCACGUUAGGGUUUUUAGGGGUUUUAGGGCUUUUGGAGAAAAAAGUAAACAAAUAAGGGAUUAGGGUUAAGGGUUUCGUAAUUAAAUUAAUUAAAUUUUAUUCAAAAUUGGAUUACGUUUCGUGUUUAUGGGUUUUUAAGAUAAAAUCAAAGCAGGAUGAUUUAUCAGAAGGAUUUUUGAAGUCGCACCCACGUGUACGCGCUUUUGCUACAGUAGGUCUUGGGAAAAUAAUUUCGACUUGAUGUUUUUGAGCAAAUAGUUUAAAAAACAUUUCAAGCAGAAUGCUUUGUGAGAAGAAUUUGUGAAAUCGCGCCGUCGUGGACGCGCUUUUACUACAGUUGGUCCUAAAAGAAAUAAUUUCGAGUUGAUGUUUUUGAGCAAAUAGUUUAAAAAACGCUUCAAACAGGAUGCUUUAUAAUAAGAAUUUGUGAAGUCGUGCCCACGUGGAUGCGCUUUUGCUACAGUAGGUCCUAAAAAAAUAAUUUUGAGUUAACGUUUCUGAGCAAAUAAUAUAAAACAACGCUGCAAGUAGCAUGCUAUUUGAGAAGAAUUUGUGAAAUUGUGCCCUCGUGAACGUGCUUUUGCUACAGUUGGUCCUGGAAAAAUAAUUUUGACUUGACGUUUCUGAGCAAAUAGUAUAAAAUCGAUUCUAGAAGGAUGCUUUAUGAGAAGAAUUUGUGAAAUCACGCCCACGUGGACGCGCUUUUGCUACAGUAACAUGUUUGGGCUGAGGCUAUAAAUGAGGCAAAAAAUGUUCUGAGAUUGCAUAAGUCACAGCAAAAACAAUUUAGAGAGGCUAAGAAGGUUAGAGUUUCAAAUAUGAGUGAACGUAUUAGUGCUGUUAUUUACUACAGUGGUGAGGUUUGCCACACUGAGAAUGGUGUUGUUUUUUUGUCGAAGAAUACGGUGCGACUGGUUUUUAACCAAAACAUAGAUUUGACAGAACUUCGUAAAAGAAUUAGGCGUAAAAUUUUCGAAACGACGCCAAUGAAAGUUCUGUCUAUUACAUAUCGAUUUUGUUCCUCUGUUGAUCCGGUGACAUAUGACUCGUUCGACAUAAAAGGUGAUCGUAGCUUGGAGGCAAUUGUGCAGACUCAUCUUGCUAGUCGAGCACAUUAUAUUGAGUUAUAUGUACAAUUUACAUUGCCAAAUGAUGUACUUGCGACCAGUGUUCGAGAUGUAUACACGACCCCUGGCCAACAUUCGGUUAGCGGGUUAGAAAACACGAAACAGCCCAUGUUUGGUAGUGGUGUUGAAUGCACAUCCCCCGCAGGACCUCUGUCGGUGGAUGGGACAUGUACGUCGGUGGUUCGAUGUUUGAUGCUGGAAAUACGUACUGGGGAACGUCAUCAAGUUCUAGUGAUUAACAAUCUACAUCCAAUUGGGGACGUUAUGAAAUGCCCAGAAAAAAGGAUGAUGUACUCCCUACGACGUCAAUUGGUGAGGGGACCUCAUACGCUGCAGAUGAUUAUGGGUUAGAAGAUGACUCCGAUGUGGAUCUACCUCGAGAGCUCGGGCCUGAUGGUGUAGAAGUUGGCUUAUUUUCUGAACCGGAGUCUAUUCCAACAAAACUUGAAGAUGCUGAAAGGAGUUCAGAUGAAGAAGAAAAUCCACGAUUCAGAGCAUACUCACCUUCAGCCCACAUGCAUAAUGUCGAUCUGUCUGCAGAUGAUACAUUAGAGUUUCCAGAUCUACCACACUGGUUGCGUGAUCGUACCAGUUCAGGGCUAGAUUCAGGUGAAUUUUAAGUUGGUAAUCAGUUUACCAACAAGGAUAGUUUUAUUGGUGUUUUGAAACAACAUAGCAUCAAAAAAUGCGUUAACUACCACGUCGUUAAAUCCAAAUCUGAUAAGUUUGAAGCGAAAUGUACGGUGCAAUAUGGCACAUGUUCAUGGAAAAUCUACGCUUCGUUAAGGAAAAAGACAGGGUUGUGGGAGAUUAAAAAGUACAAAGGUCCACAUACAUGUGCUGCAGGUACAAUAUUGACGGUAUCUGAAUAAUACUUUUAUUAUGUAAUGUUGCAUUAUUUAAUGUAAUCCGUUUAUAGGUGUUUCACAAAAUCAUCCGAAGAUGGAUUCAGCUAUGUUAGCUAGCUUGAUACUGCCCACGGUAAAAGCAGAUUCCAGGAUUUUAGUACCGGUGUUAAUUGCCAAUAUUCGUAGCCAAAUGGGGUACACGCCCUCUUACCGUAAGGCUUGGAUAGCUAAGAAAAAGGCGUUGAAGAAGAUGCAUAGUUGGUGAGACGCCUCAUAUACUGAAAUAUGACAGUGGUGUCAAGUGCUAGAGAGAUACGUCCAAGGUGCCUCACAGACCUUGAAACGGAACAUGCGUACUACAACGGCCAAUUGCUACGUGGAUGCCAAGUGUUCAAACGUCUGUUUUGGACCUUUAAGUAAUGCCAAGACGCAUUUCCAAGCUGCAAGACAUUGGUACAAAUUGACAGUACCUUUAUGUUUGGUAGGUAUACUCAUCGGCUAUUGCUUGCAGUGGUACAGGAUAGCGGUGGGAGAAUUCUUCCAAUUGCAUUUGCAAUAACACCGGGGGAGUCGUCUGAUGACUAGGAUUUCUUUCUCUCUAGGUUAAGGAGGCAUGUGUGCCUCCAACCUGAUAUCUGUGUUAUUUCAGAUCGGGGCACCGGUAUACUAGUUGCAUUUGAUCGACAGGGAAGCUUAUGGCAGUGCACACACCAUCGAUAUUGCGUAAGACACGUUGCUUCCAACUACUACAGGCAAUACCCAUCUAAGAGCGAACGACGACAAGUGACCAACAUGGGUAUUUAGUCUAUAUCUGUGUUAUUUCGUUUCUCAAUUUGAAUUAGUUUUAUUAGUAGAAGUUGUAUGUAAUAUUCGCUAUGAACUUAUAUUGGCAGGGUAUGAAAUAAAUAAAUAUCGUUUCCACGAGAUGUUGGCAACUUUACGUUCAAUUAACGGAGAAGGGGCAGACUACCUUUGUAACAUACGUUUCGAACAGUAGGCACAAGCAUACGACGGCGGCCUACGAUAUGGCCAUAUGACGUCAAACCUGGCUGAAUGCAUAAAUUCUAUUCUUAAAGGAACAUAUUUUCGUUCAGCGACGCUAUUUCCAAAGCGAGCAGCAAGUUAUGCAGGCCAGAUGCAGGGAGGACAUGUAUGGUGCAGUAAGGUAGUUUAAGAAAUUAACAAGGCCAAGGCGCAGGCAAACACCAUGCACACAGUGUGUCACGAUCGAGACAACUUAUGGUUUCACGUGACAGAGUUUGACAGACCGCACCAAGGUGUUGUUGGCGGACAAUAUCGUGUACACUUGCGAAAUAGGACUUACAACUGUGGGAUGUUUGAUGCACUUCGUUAUCCAUGCGCUCAUGUUAUUGCAGCUUGUCAGAAUCUCCGUCUAGAUCCGAUAAAUUGUGUGGACGAAGUGUACAAAUUAGAAAACAUGUACAACGUCUGGAGACUCGUUUUUCCACUGGUCCCAGAUGAACGUAAGUGGCCCCCCGUAUCUCUUUCUCAUUUUAAGCUGUUACCGGAUAGAGAAUUACGUCGUAAACCAGAGGGUCGACCUUGCUCGACUAGAAUACAUAACAAUAUGGAUAUCCGAGAAACAGUCAAUCAACAUAAGUUGUGCAGAUGGUGUAGGAAUCCAGGCCAUACAAGUCGAUCAUGCCCUAAUCGCAAUAGUUGAAUGUAAUUUUUUUAAAAAAAAUUAUAUUUUUUCAAUUAUUAACUGAUAAUUGUAUUAAUUGUUAGUAAAAUUAUCAAAUUAUAUCAAAUAAUUAAUUGUUAGUAUCAGUCAAAACAUUUUUUCAAAUCUAACAUUAUGUGAAUAUAAAAUUAUUAACUGAUAAUUGUAUUAAUAUUAGUAAAAUUAUCAAAUUAUAUUUAAGUUAAGGGUUAGGGUUUUUAAGUUAAGGGUUAAGGGUUAAGGAUUUUAAAGUUAAGGGUCUAGGGUUUUAAAGUUAAGGGUUUAGGGUUUUUAGGUUAAGGGUUAGGGUUUUUAGGUUUAGGGUUUAUGGUUUUUAAUUUAAGGGUUAUGGUUUUUAAGUUAAAGGUCUAGGGUUUUAAAGUUAAGGGUCUAUGGUUUUAAAGUUAAGGGUUAGGGUUUUUAGGUUAAGGGUUUAGGGUUUUUAAGUUAAGGGUUAGGGUUUUUAAGUUAAGGGUUUAUGGUUUUAAAGUUAAGGGUCUAUGGUUUUAAAGUUAAGGUUUAAGGUUUUUAGGUUAAGGGUUAUGGUUUUUAGGUUAAGGUUUAGGGUUUUUAAUUUAAGGGUUAGGGUUUUUAAGUUAAAGUUUAGGGUUUUCAGGUUAAGGGUUAGGGUUUUUAGGUUAAGGUUUAGGGUUUAGGGUUUUUAAUUUAAUGAUUAUGAUUUUUAAGUUAAGCGUUUAGGGUUUUUAAGUUAAGGGUCUAAGGUUUUAAAGUUAAGGUUUAGGGUUUUCAGGUUAAGGGUUAGGGUUUUUAGGUUAAAUGUUUAGGGUUUUAAUUUAAGGGUUAAGGUUUUUAAGUUAAGGGUUUAGGGUUUUUAAGUUAAGGGUCUAUGGUUUUAAAGUUAAGGUUUAUGGUUUUUAGGUUAAGGGUUAGGGUUUUUAGGUUAAGGGUUUAAGGUUUUUAAGUUAAGGGUUUAGGGUUUAAAAGUUAAGGUUUAGGGUUUUUGGGUUAAGAGUUAGGGUUUUAGGUUAAGGGUUUAGGGUUUUUAAUUUAAGGGUUAGGGUUUUUAAGUUAAGGGUUUAUGGUUUCUAAGUUAAGGGUCUAUGGUUUAAAAGUUAAAGUUUAGGGUUUUUAGGUUAAGGGUUAGGGUUUUAUGUUAAAGAUUUAGGGUUUUAAAUUUAAGGAUUAGUGUUUUUAAGUUAAGGGUUUAGGGUUUUAAGUUAAGGGUCUAAGGUUUUAAACUUAAGGGUUAUGGUUUUUAGGUUUAGGGGUUAUGGUUUUUAAUUUAAGGGUUUAUGGUUUUUAAUUUAAGGGUUUAGGGUUUUUAAUUUAAAAGUUUAGGGUUUUUUAAGUUAAGGGUUUAAGGUUUUAAGGUUAAGGGUUAAGGUUUUUAGGUUAAGGGGUUAGGGUUUUAAAGUUAAUGGUUAGGGUUUUUAGGUUAAUGGUUUAGGGUUUUAAAGUUAAAGGUUAAUGAGUUAGGGUUUUUUGGUUAAGGGUUUAAGGUUUGUUAAUUAAAUUAUGCAUUUAAUUAUAAAUUAUAAAUUUAUAAAUUUUUAAUAAGUUAAGCGUUUAGGGUUUUUAAGUAGUAACUCAAAAAAAUUUCUAUUUUUAUUACAUCAAAAAAUAUCAAAAUAUUCAAAAUAUUUGUACAAAUAAAUUUAAAUACAAAAAUCAAUGUCUAUGCCCGCGGGAUUCAGUGCCACAUGGCAGCCGUCGACAGUUACGCGCUGGAUUCCUCCUUGUCCAGCUUUUGGCGGCGAUUAUAGUUCUUCCGGCGGCGGUUGUGGUUCUUCCGGCGGGGAUUCUGGUUCUUCCAGUAGGGCAUCUGGUUGUCGGAGUUGUGACGAUGAGCCACCUUGAUAGAAUUGUGAAUGUGGAGGUGUUUGCAUCACCAACGGCAACGGUGUUUGAAACCCAUACGGUGGUGGGGAUUGGUAAAAAGAAGAGCUCCCCGACGGCCCCUCUUGCGAUCCCUCGUGCGUCGCUGGCCUAUACAUCGGCGGUCGACUCGGCGUAACAGAAAUAGAGCUGAACCGGGCCAUUGGCUCCAACCUGCCAUAGGACUCGAAAAAGGAAACAUAUAAGGGUUAGGAUACAUAAAAGGGCUAGGAAACGCACCUGGCAUCAUCUGAAAAGGCGGUUGCGUGGGUAUCAUUGGUUGAACUGCUGGGUCGGGUGAAUGUCUGGGAGUCGUUGAAGGGCCAGCGUCGUCGUCCUGUCGUCUUGGAUUUAAAGGAUCGCGUCUUUCCCUUUGGACACGUAAUUGCCGCUGCCUCUCCUCUAGCGAUAGUAAAUACGGCUUGCCAUGGAUCCUAAACCAUGGCAUGCAUUCCGGCAUGCACGCUAACUCCGGAACGAUGAUCGGUUCCAUACUAGGUAUAUAGUCAUACCGAUCUUCCCACAUUUGGAUGUACUUGAACCAGAAUCUCGGCCAAUCCGUAUUCAAUUACCGAAGGUCGAUUUUGUGGUGAUCGUCAAACAUCUCAAGUUCCAUGGAAAUCGGUUGUCUACAUCCAAAUUGCCAUAACACCCUGUCUGACUGGUGCAUCUCCACGGUCGCGUAGUUGAUCAACGCGACUUUCGCCUGCCAAGCGUUUGGAUUUUGUAAGAACUCUUUCGGAAUUACUGCCCAAAUUGCCGGAUCCUCAUAUGGUGUCCAUUGAAACUAUAUGAAAAUGAUAGAAAUAUUAAUUAUAUACAUAAUACUAAAUACUAAAUACCAAUCGACUAGCGAAUGAUGGAAAUAUCAAUUUUAUUUAAUACUUACAUGUGCUUCCGACUAUUGGUCUAAUAGAAGCCGUAUAUCUUCAAGAGAGGUAGGUAAUCGAGCAUGACUUGCCGGAUGGUUCCACCUAAUUAAAUAAAUUUUUAGCAUACUUUUAUUUUUAAAAAUCUACAUAAUAAUUGUAAAAUCUAAUAUAAAAUUUACCUCGUUAUCAGUGGGAAUGUAUAUGGGUGGUCCACUCGAGGAUGUAGAAAUGAAAAGCGAAACCGUGCCCAUGAUUGCAGUAGGGACAGGCAACCUCCGAUUUUUGCUUUCCUCGGUCGCAUCGCCCCGUACAUCUCCUUAUAUAACGUUGUCAAGACGGCAGACCCCCAACUUAAUUCACCAGCUGCUCUAAAAUCAACGAGUUGCAGCAGCCAUCUUAGAUGUACGCGGCUCCGUGACAAGUCAGGCAUCAGAUAACCUCCAAUUAACUGAAGAAUGCAUGCCCGAGCAUAUCGGAUUCUUUCUAUUUCGGUUGAAUCUUCAUCCGGAUCCGGGAAUGUGUCUCGAAACCAGCCCAUCUCGAUCUUACCUCCCUCCAUUUUCUCCAGAAUAGCGCCCAAAAGCUCGUAGCACACCGCAAGCCAAUCGCUAGAUUGGGUAGACCCGGUGACUGGGUACCCGUCCACCGGCAAUCCCAAUUGUAGACUGACAUCUUCCAAAGUGAUAGUGCACUCUCUACAUCUUAAAUAAUAUUUAAAAAUUAAAUUUAACGCUUACCAUUUUCAUUUGUUCCACCGAUAUGUGAUGCUUAUCAAGACGAGUCAAUUCUUCGGCCAUUGCUGAAAUCGUACAAAUUUUUAAUGUUUAAAAAAAUUUUAAAAAAGUAAAAUUAUUUAAAAAAAGAGAUUUAAAAGAAAUUUAAGAGGAACUUGGGAGUAAAUUGAAAAUAAAUAUGAAUUUGAGAGAAAUUUUAAAGGAAUUUGAAAGCAAAAGAGUGGGGGUAUUUAUAGUUUUUUUUUUACCGUUCGGGGGGGCAAUGGUCAAUUUUUUGACCGUUGCACUGUUCACGUACGGGGCAAAUCGCAACCACGUCAGCGCGAUUUGCUGACGUGGACACAAAUCGCAUCCUCUGAAGCAGAAUUUGUUGCCACGUCAACGCGCUAUUUGCUGGCACAUACCCUGACAUCGCGCUGACGUGGACGCAAUUUCGAGAAAAAAUGGCCAUUUCGGUAAAUAAUAAAAUACCGGGCCCAUUUCGAUAAAUUUAAAAAAAAAUAGACUUUUUUUAGUAAAUUGCCCUACGUUUUAGUCUUGUUACAAUAUCCAAGUCUAAUGCCAAUAUUGAAGUAUACCGUAAUAGUAAUUAUUCUCUCUAUCUAGUACUCGAAACUGGUUUUAAAUAUCUUCCAUUCACUCGACAAAUAGUUAUGGUCUAAAUAAAUUUCUGGAAUUCAUGGCUGCCUACUUGCGAGAGGAUUAAUGAAAUAUGCGAUGCAAGUUGAUGAAAUCUUAUUAUUUGUAAUAUAAAAAACAAAACCCAUGCAUCCUUAAUAACAUAAAAAAAACACAUUCCAUAAUCAACAUCUGAGAAUUUAAAACUUAAUUGUAAUGUUGGCUGAACAAGACUCAAAAAGGGGAGAAAAGAAAAAUAAGUCCGAACCUGAAAAAAGUGACCGUAUAAAAAACCCUGACAGGCAGAACAGUAGCAAGCAACAUAAAACCAAGACAUAUUAUCACUUAAAGCACUUGGCAUCCAAGAGAGGCUCUCCCUCAAAUGGCUCGCAGUCUUCAAUCAUCUGAUUCACCCGUUCCUUCUGGGCUGCAUCUGACAGGUCAACCUUCUUCCACUCGUAGAGUUCCAUGUCAUAGCACUCGUCAAUCACAAAUUGAGGAAUCUCUUGCCCACGGAAAAGCCAUAGUCCUUUCACCUUGAAUGGAGGGUUAGCACCGAUCACCAACAUCUUCCCAAAUGCAUACUUGCGGGCCAAAUCCAUUCUCUGCAGGAAUCCUCCAACCUUGUUCAUUGUGACAAAUGAAACUGUAUUCUCCUCAUUGUACUUGUAGUCACAAAACCACAGUGAGUAUCCCUCGGGAUCAUACAUGUCCCAGAAUCCUGACACGAAUCAAGUAUCAGAUAUCACAAGCCCAAACAUUGCUUUUAAAAGGGAGUGCUACUGUGAAAACAACAGGGAUACCUUUAAUUGCAACCUCUCGGAAAUUGGUCUUUGUGUUAGAGUAAAGCCUCUUCCAGUCAUCCAGUACCAUCUUACUUGGAGGCAGCAAAUCAAGAGGAUUCUUUGGUUUGGGCUUUGGUGCCUCCUCCUCAGCUGCCUCUGCCUUUGCUGCCUGUUUCUCAACCUCCUUUUUGGCUUCUUUCUUUGGUUCAGCCUUUGGUUUAGUUUCUUUUGGCUGGGCAGCAGGCUUCUUUGAAGGAACAGGUGGUAGAGAGACUGCCUGCUUCACUUCACCAAGAAUCUUCUUGAUUUUUGGUUGAUUAACCAAGGUCCAAAAGUACCUCUCAACAUGAGGGAACUCCGAGGUAAAACUCUUAGUCAUGAUCUGGGAGAAACCCAAGUAGAGGUUACAUGUCAUGAUAAUGUCAGCAAGGGUGACAAAAUGUCCAACAAGAAAUGUGUUGGAAGCAAGAUGAGUGUUCAAAGCGCCAAGGGCUCUCUUCAAUGCAGCAAUAGCAGCUUCCUCAGCCUACAUGCAAAAUACAUAUAAGAGAUUAAAAUGAAAUAGGUAGGCAAAAUCAUACCAUUGAAUUAAAAUGAACUACUACUGAAUUACAAAAAUAAAAUUUAACUCUUAAUAUAGAUUAAUAAAUACAUCAGAAUGGGGGAGAAAACAACCUAGUCUCUUAAAAAAAUAAUGAGGAGAAAACCCAUGCCUACUUGAUUAUCAAUGCAAUGGGCAUUCCCUUCAACCAAAAUUACUUAAUAGUGCUUGAGUUGAUUCCUUUCCAGAAACUAUGCAGGGGAAAACACUACCACAUUAAGCAUGUACUAAAUGUUGUCUAACUAAUCCUCUCUAAAAUAAAUAAAACAAGAAUCAUAGACAGGUAAUCAAUGCCAAUUUUCC
RNAcentral lists this long non-coding RNA (43036 nucleotides) under Gossypium barbadense (sea-island cotton). RNAcentral's name for it is "long non-coding RNA (GBAR_LNC021482)". The stretch from base 33479 to 33565 matches the Rfam family "MIR7486 microRNA precursor family". The record is from RNAcentral. Lineage: Eukaryota; Viridiplantae; Streptophyta; Magnoliopsida; Malvales; Malvaceae.